This 23-nucleotide unclassified non-coding RNA is filed under the name Dictyostelium discoideum. Lineage: Eukaryota; Evosea; Eumycetozoa; Dictyosteliales; Dictyosteliaceae. The record is from RNAcentral.
GGGGGUAGCCAAAUGCCUCGUCA